RNAcentral lists this long non-coding RNA (244 nucleotides) under Callithrix jacchus (white-tufted-ear marmoset). RNAcentral describes it as "lncRNA (ENSCJAG00000077559.1)". The record is from RNAcentral. Lineage: Eukaryota; Metazoa; Chordata; Mammalia; Primates; Cebidae.
AACUGUAGGAGGUGAUUUUCAGAUAUUAAAUCCUUAAAACUCACAAAGCUUGGCUGAGCCACAAGAGGUCAAUAUUUAAUAUUCUCUUCAUUUUAACAGAUGGCAGAAUAAACCAUGGAGCAGCUGUGACUCUCAUGACCAGGAGCUGCUAAAAGAGAUUUUUGAAAAGCUUUCAGAUGUCAGUCCUGAGGUUGCUGCCUGUGAAUAAGAGAGAAGCCAAGGAAUCCAUAAAAAUGUACAGAAG